CUAUUUCCCUUCCCUACCCUUCCCUUUCCACCCUAAAUCUAAAACAAUUUCCUCUCUCAUCUCUGUGCUCCAUCUCUCAUCUUUGUGCUCACCCCUAACACUAACGCCCUCACCUCAAAGUGCCUCGCCUCUGAGCUCCAUCAACUUCCAGCGGCGCUUCCACCAUCCACCGUCCAGCCUCCAGUCUCUUUCUGAGUAGAGCCACACAUGCAUCUCGCCGCGAGAUUCUCGCGCCUGUGCCUCCACUCUCCUCUCGACUGGACUGAUUCACGAGCUAACUCCUCCUCAGUCCUCACCUCAAUCCUCUAUCGAUCUUUAGUCUCUCUUUCCAUGCAAUCAUCGGCGUCCGGCCGUCGCUCUCUAUCGGCUCUCCAUGCAUCGUCGGGCAGUCGGCAAUUUGGGCAAUUUGGUCGUGCUUAUUCCACAGCCCUCAGUCCUCUCUGAGUCUCUGUGUCGCGCUUCCAGCCUUGAGCCUUUCACAGUCCGUGGACCAGACUCCGAGACCAAGAGAUCCAAGAGUGCCUCUCGCCCCUCCAGACCAAGAGUCAACUGCAAAAUAUAAGUAAAUAUUUAUGAUUUGCUGUUGAUUGUUGAAUUUGUGUGCCGUUAAUUGUUGAAGUAAACCCAUGGCCGUCUAGAAAUUAACUGUUAUUUAAUCUUGUUUAAUCUUGAAGUAAACCCAUGUUUAAUCUUGUUUAAUCUUGAUCGUUGAAGUAAACCCAUGCUGAAUUUGUGUUAUUUAAUCUUGUUUGGAUGUGUAAAUGAAAAUAUUAUGUGAAUAAUUUAGGAAAUUAGACAGAAAUUAAUUAAAACACUUCAAUUGAAUUUUAGAACACUAAAAACUAAAAAUCAAUGUAAAAAAAAAUAAUGAAAAGUUUGAAAAUCGAUUCAACUGAUCGAACCGACCGAAUCGAACCGAACCGAACUAGAUCGGUUCGAUU
Molecule: long non-coding RNA, 941 nt
Filed under: Manihot esculenta (cassava)
Lineage: Eukaryota; Viridiplantae; Streptophyta; Magnoliopsida; Malpighiales; Euphorbiaceae
Description: long non-coding RNA (MESC_LNC000797)
Source: RNAcentral